AGCUAAUAGAUACCCAGGUAGUCCCAGCAGUAAACGGUGCGCGUUUGGUGUGAGCAGAUUCGACUCUGUUCGCGCCGGAGCUAACGCGUUAAACGCGCCGCCUGGGAAGUACGAUCGCAAGAUUAAAACUCAAAGAAAUUGACGGGGGCCCGCACAAGCGGUGGAGUAUGUGGCUUAAUUCGAUGCAACGCGAAGAACCUUACCUGGGUUUGACAUGCAUCUCUAAGGAGGUGAAAGCUUCCGAGGGUAGCAAUACCCGAUUUGCACAGGUGCUGCAUGGCUGUCGUCAGCUCGUGUCGUGAGAUGUUGGGUUAAGUCCCGCAACGAGCGCAACCCUUGUAUGCUGUUGCUAUGCUUACGCAUAGCUCUCUGCGUAGACUGCCCCGUGAAACGGGGAGGAAGGUGGGGAUGACGUCAAGUCAGCAUGGCCCUUACACCCAGGGCUGCACACGUACUACAAUGCUCAGUACAAUUAGAACCUGCCCGCGA
RNAcentral lists this ribosomal RNA (489 nucleotides) under uncultured bacterium. Its description in RNAcentral is "bacterial SSU rRNA". It matches the Rfam family "Bacterial small subunit ribosomal RNA", at positions 767 to 1260 of the family's 1533-position model. The record is from RNAcentral.